Molecule: long non-coding RNA, 537 nt
Organism: Alexandromys fortis (reed vole)
Lineage: Eukaryota; Metazoa; Chordata; Mammalia; Rodentia; Cricetidae
Exons: 4
Source: RefSeq, a predicted model, not a curated record
CCUCUGGCAGACAGAUUUUGUGAGCUGCUUUUUUUUUUUCUUCUCAUAGCUCUUGUAUUUUCAUGAAGAAAUUAAAAACCAAUGUGAGAAACUGCCUAGGACAGGAAGGUGCGUCACAGCGCAUGUAGACCUUGAAUCGAAAAAUCCUCCAGCACCCACCAGAAAGGACGUGGAAGAAGGAAGCUCUCUCUUUGCCUGCUGGACCCCACUCUCACCUAGCGAGCCCCUCCUUUCGCUGGCAUCGGAGCCUGCGGCUGGAUUCCAGUGUGUACGGAAGACCAGCUGAGACAUCAGCCUCGUAGACUGAAGAACUAGUGGCUUCUUGGGCUUUCCAUUGUUAGACAGCCAUUGUUGGACUAACUGGACCCCAGCAUAAAUAAAAAAAUGGAGAUGCUUCAGACAGGUGUAAAAGUUACCUUCCCCACAGGUCUUCCUUGUGGGUGAAGAGGACGAUCGUGUGCCUCAUGACUCCUGCCCCGAAGAUCUCCUUCACCCUCCUCAAGGCUAGGGUGUCCUGAGCUGUGAAGCGUCCCAGCU